Molecule: unclassified non-coding RNA, 348 nt
Filed under: soil metagenome
Description: partial contains 5.8S ribosomal RNA, internal transcribed spacer 2, and large subunit ribosomal RNA
Rfam family: 5.8S ribosomal RNA (bases 1-120)
Source: RNAcentral
GAUGAAGAACGUAGCGAAAUGCGAUAAGUAAUGUGAAUUGCAGAAUUCAGUGAAUCAUCGAGUCUUUGAACGCACAUUGCGCCCCCUGGUAUUCCGGGGGACAUGCCUGUCCGAGCGUCAUUGCUGCCCUCAAGCACGGCUUGUGUGUUGGGCCCCCGUCCCCGGUUUCCCCCGGGGACGGGCCCGAAAGGCAGCGGCGGCACCGCGUCCGGUCCUCGAGCGUAUGGGGCUUUGUCACCCGCUCUGUAGGCCCGGCCGGCGCCAGCCGACACCCAACUUUAUUUCUAAGGUUGACCUCGGAUCAGGUAGGGAUACCCGCUGAACUUAAGCAUAUCAAUAAGCGGAGGA